UAAGGAAUAUUGCUCAAUGGGAGAAAUCCUGAAGCAGCAACGCCGCGUGGAGGAUGAAGGGUCUAUGACUUGUAAACUCCUGUAAAGAAGGAAAAAAUUCCCAUUUGAUGGGAGAUGAUGGUACUUCUGGAGUAAGCCCCGGCUAACUACGUGCCAGCAGCCGCGGUAAUACGUAGGGGGCAAGCGUUGUCCGGAUUUACUGGGUGUAAAGGGUGCUCAGGCGGAUUUGUAAGUCAGAGGUGAAAUCUUACAGCUUAACUGUGAAACUGCCUUUGAUACUGCAAGCCUGGAGUAUGGAAGAGAGUGAUGGAAUAUCUGGUGUAGCAGUGAAAUGCGUAGAUAUCAGAUAGAACACCAAUGGCGAAGGCAGUCACUUGGUCCAUUACUGACGCUAAAGCACGAAAGCGUGGGUAGCAAAC
RNAcentral lists this ribosomal RNA (419 nucleotides) under uncultured bacterium. RNAcentral's name for it is "bacterial SSU rRNA". It matches the Rfam family "Bacterial small subunit ribosomal RNA", at positions 355 to 773 of the family's 1533-position model. The record is from RNAcentral.